This is a long non-coding RNA of Vespa mandarinia (Asian giant hornet), 801 nucleotides long. The record is from RefSeq and is a predicted model, not a curated record. NCBI's taxonomy places the organism in Eukaryota, Metazoa, Arthropoda, Insecta, Hymenoptera, Vespidae.
GUCUUUUCUUUUUGGUAGAAUCGUAAUCGGAAAUAAAAAUGUAACACAACGAUGUGAGACGCGUCGAAGAAACGAGGCCGUUCGUGGCUUUUCCUCGAAUCGCCUUGGGAAACGAAUGAAAUUGGAUGAAAGUCGACCGACUGCUCUCAAACCGCCAUUUUCGUUGCACAAAGUAGGUCUGUGACAACGUCGACGAAGACUCUUAAGAAGAAGAAGAAGAAGAAGAAGAGGAGGAGGAGGAGGAGGAGGAGAAAGAGGAGGAGGAGAAUAGGAGUCGAGUGUUUUCGGUUAAAGCUCGCUCGGCGAACUUAAAGAAUCUCCCUAUCUCGUCGUUGCUUCCGUAACUGAAAAACAAAAGGAAAAGGGGGAGCAAAAAUGAAAAAAAAAAAAAAAAAAAAAAAAGAAAGAAGAAGAAAGAAGAAAAAGAAGAAGAAGAAAAGGAGAUGGAAAGAGAUAGAUAGGAGGGAAAAAAAAGAAAAGACAGAAUCGUAUCAGGAAACCAUUAAAUCUCAUUUUAUAAUACUCUUCAUUGUAAACUGUCUUCGAAUUGUGAAUGAUUGAAGUCAGAUUCUGCUGUUACAUUGCUGAAUCACUUGAAACUGCAGACUUCCGUUGAAUCUUCACAGGAUAACAAGCUUGCGACGUGGUACAAGAUGGUACUCGACGAGAGGAUGACUUGGGGUCGAGUAAGUACUUACCUCACGGUUAUAUAAAAGGCUUUACUUAAAAAGUUCACGAGAUCAUCAUGUCUAUAUUUGUAUAUCUACUUAUUCGUUUUGAAUUAUUAAAGAUAAUUAUCAA